Molecule: ribosomal RNA, 397 nt
Filed under: uncultured bacterium
Lineage: Bacteria
Description: partial 16S ribosomal RNA
Rfam family: Bacterial small subunit ribosomal RNA
Source: RNAcentral
AUACGUAGGUGGCAAGCGUUGUCCGGAAUUAUUGGGCGUAAAGCGCGCGCAGGCGGUCCUUUAAGUCUGAUGUGAAAGCCCCCGGCUCAACCGGGGAGGGUCAUUGGAAACUGGGGAACUUGAGUGCAGAAGAGGAUAGUGGAAUUCCAAGUGGAGCGGUGAAAUGCGUAGAGAUUUGGAGGAACACCAGUGGCGAAGGCGACUGUCUUGUCUGUAACUGACACUGGGGCGCUAAAGCGUGGGGAGCAAACAGGAUUAGAUACCCUGGUAGUCCACGCCGUAAACGAUGAGUGCUAAGUGUUGGGGGGUUUCCGCCCCUCAGUGCUGCAGCUAACGCAUUAAGCACUCCGCCUGGGGAGUACGGCCGCAAGGUUAAAACUCAAAUGAAUUGACGGGG